UCAGAACUCACAGCCUGUGACUGACCAGUCAGGGGUGGGUGUGGGGGCUUGCUCUCACAUGUUUCUCAACCCCGUGAGCUUAGAGAACCGGACUGGUCAACGUUUAACCUCCAAGUCCCUCCAAAACACAGUUCCCACAAAGCACUGCUCUCAGCUAAAGCUCACUGCUUGCAGACCAAGGGUAAGCCUUCAAUAGUCUACCUAGGCUUGCUCCACGGCCUCACCUAGCCACGGACACCUCUGUGCUUGGGUCAGGUCUCAGGAAGGUGUGGCAAGAUCUGCUGCUUGCUUUCUGCCUGAGAAUCCGUAGCCGGUGCCGACUGGAUCAGGAAGGUGUGGCUGAGAUGUUGGUCUCUGACAAGUGAUUAAUCUUCCUGGAGGAAUGGGGAGAUGUUACAUUGAUCACACGGAGGCCAGAAUGUCCCUCAAGGCAGAAACUGGUGCCCAGAAGGGACACUGCUACACGUAGCUGGAUGGAAUCCCAACUGAUACAGCAAGCUGGAGCAGGGGCCUCCAAACCUACUGCACAUUAGAACUACCCAGGGGGCUUUGCAAAAGCCCGCCAGCCAGAGACGCCAUUCCAUCAGGGCUGAUGUUUCUGGUCGCUGAACCUCACUUGGAGUCAUCAGGUCAAGAGCAUCGAGAGGUCUUUCGGACUUCUGCAAGAUUCGCUACCAUGAGCAUCACCAACACAUUCGUCUUCUCUGUCCAUCUCUUUGUCCUUCUUUUUAAUUCUCCUUUUCCCUUCCUUAUGGGCCGUCACCUUCAGACUUACGGAGCAGCUUCCGCAGACCAGGCACUAGAUUCAAGGAUCCUGGAGUUCCAUCUCACACUGAGCUCACAGCUGCCUACGGUCACAAAUCUUCAGAACCCAAAGAGAAUUCCGAUUUGUCUGGGUAUCCUGGAUGCACACUGGGGCACGGGUCCCAGGCAUCUAUUUGCGCUGAUGAUUUAAUUGAGCUUUUGAAACGUGACUGGGCAAAGCUGAUGAUCCAACCAAGGUAUCAGAUCAUUGGCUUCGUGGAGCCAUUUAGUACCUGCUAAGAAACUGCAAGGGAGAAGCAGAUGCCUGUGGCCAGAUGCUCAGAAUAGGCUCUAGAGGCCAUGCAGGAAGUGGGAAGUCUCAGCCUCACAUUCCCACUCCCGUGGCCUGCUUGUCACCCUGCUGUCCCUGCCAUGAUGGACUACAUGCCUUCAAAUGGAGCCUCCAUAAAUUCUCCUUCCCCUGAGGUGCCCCUUGCCAGAAAGGGAACCUGGACAUGGAUAUGUGUUCUCAGAGACCGCCACAUGGAGAUUGAGGCAGACAUCACGAAGAAGCUUCUACAAGUCAAAGAACGUCAAAGAUCACCAGCAACCCUUCAGAAGGGAGGGAGAGCCUGGAACUGACCCUUCGUCAAGUCUUCAGAAGGAACCAACCCUGUCUACACCCCGAUCUUGGGCUUCUAGCCUUGGCAGUUAUGAGACAAUGUUCCUAUUGUGCGAGUCAGUGUGUGGUACUUAGUAAAUAAACAUGUAAAGCAACAUGCUUUG
This is a non-coding RNA of Peromyscus maniculatus bairdii (prairie deer mouse), 1530 nucleotides long. NCBI's taxonomy places the organism in Eukaryota, Metazoa, Chordata, Mammalia, Rodentia, Cricetidae. The record is from RefSeq and is a predicted model, not a curated record.